CAACCUGCCCUGUACUGUGGAAUAAUCAUUGGAAACGAUGACUAAUACCGCAUGUGGUCCUCGGAAGGCAUCUUCUGAGGAAGAAAGGAUUUAUUCGGUACAGGAUGGGCCCGCAUCUGAUUAGCUAGUUGGUGAGAUAACAGCCCACCAAGGCGACGAUCAGUAGCCGACCUGAGAGGGUGAUCGGCCACACUGGGACUGAGACACGGCCCAG
RNAcentral lists this ribosomal RNA (214 nucleotides) under uncultured bacterium. RNAcentral describes it as "partial 16S ribosomal RNA". It matches the Rfam family "Bacterial small subunit ribosomal RNA", at positions 122 to 334 of the family's 1533-position model. The record is from RNAcentral.